UUAAAAGGUUGUAUUUUUAUAGUAUUAAUCAACCCUAAUUUUACUUGUCAAAAAAAAAAUCUGUGUUCCAUUAAACGUGCUGGUGAUAGGUGCUUGUAAAAAAUAGGUGCGGUUUUUAGGGCGAAGGACAUUUGUCCCAGUUUGGAGGAAAUGUUACUCCACACUUUCAUUCAAGACGCGCUGCCUUGCAAUCUGUUCCUAGCUCAUAAAGGCAGGUCUUAAGAUGUACUACACCGCGCAACUCAUAUAAAUAGUAUCUACUCAGGACCUGCUGGCGGUCUAUUUCGCCAACAAGGCCUACAAAGUCUUGUGCAAACUUCGAAUGGCAACGCUUCAGGAUGGGAGAUCUGAGCAGUGCCGCCGUUCCUUUGAGAUGGCUCUGGAGCCAACAGUCGAUGUCAGAAUGCCCUACUUGGAAGGGUCAUUCUGAUACUGAAUCAACGCGACCCACGUCUCUAUAGGGAGGGUUUAAGUCUUCUCAAUGCGGCCUAUAAGCUUGAUGAACCCCAUCCAGUAGUUUUAAGUAUUCUUGCGACCUGCCACUAUUUCAUUGGAGAUCUGGUGAUCUGGUCUUUAAUCUGGCUCAAAUUCGCAUUGGCUUCAUCGAAAUUGCGCAGCUGCAACCGCAUAGUUGCUGUAAGGUGGCCAGAGUCACCAUGCAAGUGAGGAAUUCGACUUCGCCAGGACAUACUAUCAGGAUUCGGUAAGUUUCGCACUUGAAAGCUUCCACGAGGCUAAAGAGACGAAAAUUCGGCGGCUAUGAAGUUGUAGUGCCCUACAAGUCCAUUAUCGCCGAAUAUCUGAGCUAUUAUGACUGCCUGAUAUCCAGCUCACAGACAACAAUAACAUUGCAGCCAGGACCUAUUUGGGAAGCUGAAGCUUACCAAAAAGUCCUUCUCUAUCUUCGAUGUGAUCCUGGGUAGCUCGGGAAGUACGCCCAGAUGGCUUCAUCUAAGAACAAGACAGAAAAGCGCGACAUCAGGAAAAUGCCUUGAACUCAAGGAUUCUCCAGCGCAGUCCUGAGCAGUUGCAUCGAUCUGGCCUUGAUCAUUAAUGAGGAAGCCAAGCAAAUCCCAGCCCAUCCAAAACCCGAAUGGGAUGAGCCCAAGACCCCAAUGUUUCAAGACUAGACUGCCAGACUACUUUGAGGCCAUGUCCUUAUCCAUUACCCCGUCCCUCAAGUGGAUUUGGUCCAGCCCUAUUUGGGACAGAACUUAGCCUUCAGGUGCGGAACUCACUGGAUUCUGAUAGCAUGUCUUGGCGAAGUCGAAUUCAACACUUCCAUGGUGACU
Molecule: non-coding RNA, 1292 nt
Organism: Drosophila suzukii
Lineage: Eukaryota; Metazoa; Arthropoda; Insecta; Diptera; Drosophilidae
Source: RefSeq, a predicted model, not a curated record